Molecule: long non-coding RNA, 240 nt
Filed under: Lathyrus oleraceus (garden pea)
Lineage: Eukaryota; Viridiplantae; Streptophyta; Magnoliopsida; Fabales; Fabaceae
Description: Pisum sativum (pea) long non-coding RNA (PSAT_LNC026598)
Source: RNAcentral
UUUUCCUUUUUCCUUUUUUAUUUUAUUUUCUUUUUCAUUUAUUUCUUUAUUUUUCAAUCUUUUUCUUUUUCUCAACCUCUUAGCAACCAACUUUUCUUCUCCCCAACUUAAAUACAACCAAUCAUGUAAUGUGACUGCUCCCAAACUUUAUGGCAAGGGUAAAAUUUGAACCACAAAUCAUGGUUAUGGUUCAAGAAAAAUAUUAUAAUCCAUACAAAAGUGAGUUCAACACCAACAUGG